RNAcentral lists this ribosomal RNA (248 nucleotides) under uncultured bacterium. RNAcentral's name for it is "partial 16S ribosomal RNA". It matches the Rfam family "Bacterial small subunit ribosomal RNA", at positions 523 to 769 of the family's 1533-position model. The record is from RNAcentral.
AUACGUAGGUGGGCGAGCGUUAUCCGGAAUUACUGGGCGUAAAGGGUGCGUAGGCGGUUAUAUGUGUCAGAUGUAAAAAGGCUAUGGCUUAACCAUGGUUGGCAUUUGAAACUGUAUGACUUGAGUGCAGGAGAGGAGAGUGGAAUUCCUAGUGUAGCGGUAAAAUGCGUAGAUAUUAGGAGGAACACCAGUUGCGAAGGCGGCUCUCUGGACUGUAACUGACACUGAGGCACGAAAGCGUGGGGAGC